UCCGGUUGAUCCUGCCGGACCCGACCGGUAUCGGGGUGGGGCUAAGCCAUGCAAGUCGUACGUCCUCCAGCCACGUGGGGGACGUGGCGCACGGCUCAGUAGUACGCAGCUAACCUAACCUAAGGAGGGGGAUAAUCCCGGGAAACUGGGGCUAAUACCCCAUAGACCUGGGGUACUGGAAGGUCCUCAGGUCAAAAUGGGUGGGCUGGCAUGCCGGUCCACCUGCCUUAGGAUGGGGCUGCGUCCGAUCAGGUAGUUGGCGGGGUAAAGGCCCACCAAGCCUAUGACCGGUGCGGGCUCUGAGAGGAGGAGCCCGGAGAUGGACCUGAGACAAGGGUCCAGGCCCUACGGGGCGCAGCAGGCGCGAAACCUUCGCAAUGCCCGAAAGGGUGACGAGGCUACCCCGAGUGUCGUCCGCUAAGGACGACUUUUGUCGGGUCUAAAAAGCCCGACGAAUAAGGGGAGGGCAAGUCUGGUGUCAGCCGCCGCGGUAAUACCAGCUCCCCGACUGGUCGGGACGAUUAUUGGGUCUAAAGCGUCCGUAGCCGGCCCUGUAUGUGGUCCGUUAAAUCCAGCGGCUCAACCGCUGGGCUGCGGAUCAUACUACGGGGCUAGGGGACGGGAGAGGCCGGGGGUACUCCGCGGGUAGGGGUAAAAUCCGCUGAUCCGCGGAAGACCAACAGUGGCGAGGGCGCCCGGCCAGAACGCGCCCGACGGUGAGGGACGAAAGCCAGGGGAGCGAACCGGAUUAGAUACCCGGGUAGUCCUGGCCGUAAACGAUGCCCGCUAGGUCUUGGUGAAGCUUAGGGUUUCACCAGGGCCGCAGGGAAGCCGUUAAGCGGGCCACCUGGGGAGUACGGCCGCAAGGCUGAAACUUAAAGGAAUUGGCGGGGGAGCACCACAAGGGGUGAAGCCUGCGGUUUAAUUGGAGUCAACGCCGGG
RNAcentral lists this ribosomal RNA (942 nucleotides) under uncultured archaeon. Its description in RNAcentral is "bacterial SSU rRNA". It matches the Rfam family "Archaeal small subunit ribosomal RNA", at positions 1 to 922 of the family's 1478-position model. The record is from RNAcentral.